CAGGUGAAACAUUCAACGGCCGCGGUAUCCUAACCGUGCAAAGGUAGCGUAAUCACUUGUCUCCUAAAUAGAGACCUGUAUGAACGGCUAAAUGAGGACUAAACUGUCUCCUUUAACCAAUCAGUGAAACUGAUCUAUCAGUCCAAAAGCUGAUAUGUGCCCAUAAGACGAGAAGACCCUGUGGAGCUUUAAAUUAAUAGCCAAACAAAGCUAAACCUAGGCCCAACCCAUGGCUAACAAUUUUAAGUUGGGGCGACUUCGGAACAAAACCAAACUUCCGAGCAUAUAGAAAAUUAAUCUAACCGAGGCCUACAAGCCAAAGAACAACUGACCCAGUAAUACUGAUCAACGAACCAAGUUACCCCAGGGAUAACAGCGCCAUCUUCUUCAAGAGUCCAUAUCGACAAGAAGGUUUACGACCUCGAUGUUGGAUCAGGACACCCAAAUGGUGCAGCCGCUAUUAAAGGUUCGUUUGUUCAACGAU
RNAcentral lists this ribosomal RNA (484 nucleotides) under Basiliscus plumifrons. Its description in RNAcentral is "partial large subunit ribosomal RNA". It matches the Rfam family "Bacterial large subunit ribosomal RNA", at positions 1909 to 2588 of the family's 2925-position model. The record is from RNAcentral. Lineage: Eukaryota; Metazoa; Chordata; Lepidosauria; Squamata; Corytophanidae.